UAUAGAAGCGCCUUUCAGGGUCGCGACGUCAGUACCGGAAUGCUUGUUGUGAACCAGGCCCGAGGCUCGCCAGCGAAACAACACUGCGUCAGCCAAUCGCGACGCGUGUUUCCCCUCCGCCAGCUAAUUGGACUUUUGUUCGUCGAACUUACAUGUGCGAUAACGAUUAAUUCGUUGAUCGUCGACGAGAAAAAUACGCAUUUGUUUUUAGCCGAGCCAUUCGAAAGCGUUGACCACGUACAUUCUAGUUCUCUACGGCGUACGCAAGAUGGACCAAUAAGAGAUCCGCCAUUGUUGCGAUUUCGUCUGAUCUCGAGUAAAAUAGACGAUAACGUCGGCGUUCGGCUAUGAUUGUUCCGAAUGAUGAUAUAUUCAUUUGCAUUGAACAUUAUAGCUAGUUGAAUUGGAAAGCUUAGGAAACAAUGACGUUUCAAACAUGUUAUUGCGCGUCUCGAUCCAUUCUAUGCAUGCAUGUAUACACGUAUGUACGUAUGUAUGUGUGUGUGUGUGUGCGCGCGCAGUUUGUCGUACACUGAACAUUGAGGCGUAGAUGUGUGUACCUCGAUAAUGAGAUCGGAACAAUUUAAGAACGCUCUGUACGGAUCGAAUGUAUUCGAGAACGAUGGAUACACGAACUAGUAAAGUCGCGGCGAUGACGCUUUGACAUUUCAAGAAAUUGAAUUUCUCUGGCAAAACGUUCAAGACGUGCCUCUGAGUUAAGAGAAAUACGAUGAUUAACAAUUGUCCGACAAUGCAAUUUUCGGAAGGAAUUGUUCUUCUCUGGCUUAUAAGCUGUCCGCACGCCGGCACCGGUCUCAGAUAGAACAAGUGCCGGUAAGCACGACAUUCUGUUUCCAAGUGACUGCAUUUA
Non-coding RNA from Megalopta genalis, 871 nucleotides. Lineage: Eukaryota; Metazoa; Arthropoda; Insecta; Hymenoptera; Halictidae. The record is from RefSeq and is a predicted model, not a curated record.